This 338-nucleotide unclassified non-coding RNA is filed under the name soil metagenome. RNAcentral describes it as "partial contains 5.8S ribosomal RNA, internal transcribed spacer 2, and large subunit ribosomal RNA". The stretch from base 1 to 120 matches the Rfam family "5.8S ribosomal RNA", at positions 35 to 154 of the family's 154-position model. The record is from RNAcentral.
GAUGAAGAACGCAGCGAAAUGCGAUACGUAGUGUGAAUUGCAGAAUUCAGUGAAUCAUCGAAUCUUUGAACGCACAUUGCGCCCUUUGGUAAUCCAAAGGGCAUGCCUGUUCGAGCGUCAUUUGUACCCUCAAGCUUUGCUUGGUGUUGGGCGUCUUGUCUCCAGUCCGCUGGAGACUCGCCUUAAAGUCAUUGGCAGCCGGCCUACUGGUUUCGGAGCGCAGCACAAGUCGCACUCUUUUCCAGCCAAGGUCAGUGUCCAACAAGCCUUUUUUCAACUUUUGACCUCGGAUCAGGUAGGGAUACCCGCUGAACUUAAGCAUAUCAAUAAGCGGAGGA